CCGCGCUAACCGGGGAGUCAGCGGUGCCCUGUACCUGCAAUCCGCUACAGCAGGGGCGAAUUCCGGCCCCCGGUCUCGCGAUGUGUCGUCAGUUGGCGCGUAAGCGGCGUUGACGGACCGGUCUCGCGCAACGAAAGCCCGUGAACCAUGUCAGGCGGGAGACCGAGCAGCAUUAAGCGGUAUCUUUCGUGUGCCGCGAGGGAGCCGAUCCCGAGCAGGCUGCGC
Molecule: signal recognition particle RNA, 225 nt
Filed under: bovine gut metagenome
Description: Bacterial large signal recognition particle RNA
Rfam family: Bacterial large signal recognition particle RNA
About the family: The signal recognition particle (SRP) is a universally conserved ribonucleoprotein involved in the co-translational targeting of proteins to membranes.
Source: RNAcentral